This 510-nucleotide long non-coding RNA is filed under the name Bos taurus (domestic cattle). RNAcentral's name for it is "long non-coding RNA NONBTAT021479". The record is from RNAcentral. Lineage: Eukaryota; Metazoa; Chordata; Mammalia; Artiodactyla; Bovidae.
UGCAUUCCCAGAACAUCAGAAUGCUGUUCUCAGCUAGUAGUCAAAUUCUUUAAGACCUGCAGGAGCCAAUCUCAAGCUUGUGUCAUAAGUGACUUUGAAGUGUGAUUGAAAAGAAGUUGGGGAGUAGGAAGAGACGGACUUUUUCUUUUUCUUUGCUCAGGCCAUGGCUGUACAGCCUCUUACACAAUAGGAUAAUUAUCCCUGGAUUCCCAGGCUGGCCGGCCUGAGUCUUCUUCCUUAGCAUCUCUAUCUCCUGGGGCCCAGUGUUUCCUUCUGUCUCUAUUCUUAGCCGACACAGCUUUCCCGUUCAGUUCCCAGGUCCCUCCUCAUCUUCCCCCGGUCUUUCUUCUCCCAGUAAAGUUAUUUUGGGGAGCACUUCCCAUGUUCUAUUCAGAUGUGAAUCUUCUUUCUCUUUAUUAAAAUAAGAUUUUCUUCUUCAUUUCAUCAUGCAUGCUUCUUCCCAGAAUAUAAUAAACCCUUGCCCUCCAGCCACAUAAUGUCUGGUUUGUG